GAGCAAGCUCGUAAGGGCGUGUGGUGGAUGCCUUGGCGUCAAGAGGCGAUGAAAGACGUGAGAACCUGCGAUAUGCCUCGGGGAGCUGGUAACUGAGCUUUGAUCCGAGGAUUUCUGAAUGGGGAAACCCGGCCACAUCUGUGGUCACCUGCGGAGGAAUGCAUAUGCCGCAGGAGCGAACCUGGCGAACUGAAACAUCUAAGUACCCAGAGGAAAAGAAAGCAACCGCGAUUCCGGAAGUAGCGGCGAGCGAAACCGGACAAACUCACAGACUCGUGAACCAUUUGAAAGAUGGACCGCAGAGGGUGCCAGUCCCGUAGCGACGAGUGAGGUAGCCCUAGAGUAAGGUCGAGCCCGUGAAACUCGGCCUGAAUAUGGGGGGUCCACCCUCCAAGGCUAAAUACUCCUUGACGACCGAUAGUUUACCAGUAGGGCGACUGAAAGGUGAAAAGUUCCCCGACAAGGGAAGUGAAAUAGUUUCUGAAACCACACGCUUACAAGCGGUCGGAGCCUUUCUUCGGGAAGGUGACGGCGUGCCUUUUGCAUAAUGAUCCGGCGAGUUAACGUUUGUUGCAAGCUUAAGCCGUACCCCGGUGCAGGCGAAGGGAAACCGAGUGUUAAAUGCGCGACAAGUAGCAGGCGUUAGACGCGAAACCGAGCGAUCUACCCAUGGCCAGGGUGAAGGGACGGUAACACGUCCUGGAGGCCCGAACUCGUAGUCGUUGAAAAGACUUGAGAUGAGCUGUGGGGAGGAGUCAAAGUCUAAUCAUGCUCGGAGAUAUCUCGUUCUCCUCGAAAUAGUUUUUGGGCUAGCCUCACGCAAUACCUGUUGGGGGUAGAGCGACUGAUUGGAGCUGGGGCCCUUCCCGGGUACCCACUCCAACCAAACUCCGAAUACCAGCAGGCUUACCGUGGGAGUCAGACAGUGGGGGAUAAUCUUCAUUGUCAAAAGGGAAACAACCCAGACCGCCAGCUAAGGUCCCUAAUGAUCUCUUAGUUCGAAAGGAUGUCUGGGUCCGAUGACAGCCGGGAUGUUGGCUUAGAAGCAGCCACCAUUUAAAGAGUGCGUAAUAGCUCACCGGUCGAGGAUCCAGGCGCCGAUAAUGAUCGGGAAUAAGUUUUCAACCGAAGCUGCGGACUGUGCAUCGCACAGUGGUAGAGGAGCGUUCCUGUCAGCUGAGAAGGAGUUCGGGCAACGAGCUCUGGAGCGGCAGGAAGUGAUUAUGCCGGAUUGAGUAACGAUAAAGCAGGUGAAAAUCCUGCUCGCCGAAAUGCUAAGGUUUCCUGGGCAAGGUAAUUCCGCCCAGGGUUAGUCGGCCCCUAAGGCGAGGCUGAAAAGCGUAGUCGAUGGGAAGCGGGUUAAUAUUCCCGCACCGCGAAGUGGUGACGGAUCUCGUAAGUUUGUCGCACGGCUAGAUGUGUGCGUACCGCAAGGUCGAGGGCUUAGGUCCCGAAGCAAGCGUGAGAGGUUCCGCGAAAUAGCCCUUCAACAGCGACCGUACUAAAACUGACACAGGUAGCAAUGGUGAAUAACCUCAGGCGCUCGAGAGAACAGUAGUGAAGGAAUUAGGCAAAAUCACCCCGUAAGUUCGCGAGAAGGGGGCCCUCCCCGGCUUGACCGGAAGGGCGCAGAGAAAAGGCGCUGGCGACUGUUUAUCAAAAACACAGGACUGUGCUAACUCGCAAGAGGACGUAUACAGUCUGACACCUGCUCGAUGCCGGAAUGUCACGGAAGCUGGUUAGUCUCACGACAAAGCUAGCGACCCAAGCACCGGUCAAUGGCGGCCGUAACUAUGACGGUCCUAAGGUAGCGAAAUUCCUUGUCGGGUAAGUUCCGACGCGCAUGAAUGGUGUAACGACUGGCGCACUGUCUCCACUACUGACUCGGUGAAAUAGAAGACGCGGUGAAGAUACCGUGUACCCGCAGCAAGACGGAAAGACCCCGUGGACCUUCACUGUAGGUUGAUAUUGGCCACGACGGCAAACUGCGUAGGAUAGGUGGGAGGCUUUGAAGCAGGCGUUUCGGCGCUUGUGGAGCCGUCCUUGAAAUACCACCCUGUUUGUCGUCUUGACCUAACCGUGACCCUUGAAUCAGGGCGUGGAACAGUGUCAGCUGGGCAGUUUGACUGGGGCGGUCUCCUCCUAAAGAGUAACGGAGGAGCGCAAUGGUUGGCUCAGCACGGUUGGAAACCGUGUUUCGAGUGUAAGAGCACAAGCCAGCUUUACUGCGAGAGAGACAUCUCAAGCAGUCACGAAAGUGGGCUCUAGUGAUCCGAUGGUCCCGUGUGGAAGGGCCAUCGCUCAACGGAUAAAAGGUACCCCGGGGAUAACAGGCUGAUCGCUCCCGAGCGUCCAUAGCGGCGGAGCGGUUUGGCACCUCGAUGUCGGCUCGUCACAUCCUGGGGCUGAAGGCGGUCCCAAGGGUUGGGCUGUUCGCCCAUUAAAGUGGCACGCGAGCUGGGUUCAGACCGGCGUGAGCCAGGUCGGUCCCUAUCUGCUGUGGGCGUAGCAAGUUUGAGAGGAUUCUUCUUUAGUACGAGAGGAUUAGGAAGGACGGACCCCUGGUGUGCCAGUUGGACUGCUAAGUCCACCGCUGGGUAGCUAAGUCCGGCAGAGAUAACCGCUGAAAGCAUCUAAGCGGGAAGCUCCCCUCGAGAUGAGACUUGCAUGGACUUCGGUCCGAGAGACCCCCGGAAGACCACCGGGUUGAUAGGCGACAGGUGUACGGGCCGAAAUGCCCUCAGCUGAGUCGUACUAACGGUCGAUUGCUUGCUCAC
RNAcentral lists this ribosomal RNA (2777 nucleotides) under Phycisphaera mikurensis. RNAcentral's name for it is "23S ribosomal RNA". It matches the Rfam family "Bacterial large subunit ribosomal RNA". The record is from RNAcentral. Lineage: Bacteria; Pseudomonadati; Planctomycetota; Phycisphaerae; Phycisphaerales; Phycisphaeraceae. RNAcentral also lists the same sequence under 1 other name.